CAGUCGCCACGGGAAUACGUAGGGUGCAAGCGUUAAUCGGAAUUACUGGGCGUAAAGGGCGCGUAGGCGGACUGAUAAGUCAGGGGUGAAAUCCCAAGGCUCAACCUUGGAACUGCCUUUGAUACUGUUUGUCUUGAGUUCGAGAGAGGUAAGUGGAACUGCGAGUGUAGAGGUGAAAUUCGUAGAUAUUCGCAAGAACACCAGUGGCGAAGGCGGCUUACUGGCUCGAAACUGACGCUGAGGCGCGAAAGCGUGGGGAGCAAACAGGAUUAGAGACCCGCGUAGUCCCUGUCUCUUAUAC
RNAcentral lists this ribosomal RNA (301 nucleotides) under uncultured bacterium. Its description in RNAcentral is "partial 16S ribosomal RNA". It matches the Rfam family "Bacterial small subunit ribosomal RNA", at positions 509 to 807 of the family's 1533-position model. The record is from RNAcentral.